RNAcentral lists this ribosomal RNA (524 nucleotides) under Lasiodiplodia theobromae. RNAcentral's name for it is "eukaryotic LSU rRNA". The stretch from base 159 to 312 matches the Rfam family "5.8S ribosomal RNA". Lineage: Eukaryota; Fungi; Ascomycota; Dothideomycetes; Botryosphaeriales; Botryosphaeriaceae. The record is from RNAcentral.
UAACCUGCGGAAGGAUCAUUACCGAGUUUUCGAGCUCCGGCUCGACUCUCCCACCCUUUGUGAACGUACCUCUGUUGCUUUGGCGGCUCCGGCCGCCAAAGGACCUUCAAACUCCAGUCAGUAAACGCAGACGUCUGAUAAACAAGUUAAUAAACUAAAACUUUCAACAACGGAUCUCUUGGUUCUGGCAUCGAUGAAGAACGCAGCGAAAUGCGAUAAGUAAUGUGAAUUGCAGAAUUCAGUGAAUCAUCGAAUCUUUGAACGCACAUUGCGCCCCUUGGUAUUCCGGGGGGCAUGCCUGUUCGAGCGUCAUUACAACCCUCAAGCUCUGCUUGGAAUUGGGCACCGUCCUCACUGCGGACGCGCCUCAAAGACCUCGGCGGUGGCUGUUCAGCCCUCAAGCGUAGUAGAAUACACCUCGCUUUGGAGCGGUUGGCGUCGCCCGCCGGACGAACCUUCUGAACUUUUCUCAAGGUUGACCUCGGAUCAGGUAGGGAUACCCGCUGAACUUAAGCAUAUCAAUA